GUUUUAAUUCAGUAAAGGUUCUAUUGUACAGUAUAUAAAUUAUUGAUAAUCUGUAUUGAUAAUCUUAUCAACUUUUAAAACAAAUAUAACACACAUAGCACACGAAUGACUGCCUUAAAAUUGUUUACUGAGGGCAAAAUAAAAUAUAACUCGGUUUCUGUACCUUGUAUAACCAUUUCAUUUCAAGCAUUCUUGAACCAAGAAAAUUUGAGAAAUUAAAAACGGUUAAGAAAAAAUAUUUAAAAAUAUAAUUAUGUUGGUCUAACUACAACCAUAAGACAAUAACAAUCAUACUGUUUAAUGCAACCAAUGUUUAAAAGAAAAGGUUUAUCAUAAAAUGCAGGUAUAAGAUAGCAAACAAAUAUAAAAAAUAAUAUCAAUUUGGUAUUAAUUACAUUUGAAUAAAAUGAAUAAUUCUAUUUUUAAAUAUAAAAUAAUAAUGAAAACAAAAACGUAAAACUAAAUGUAUAUAAGAUUUCAUAUUUGGAUAUUCCACUGUCCUAUUAUUUUUAUUUAUUCAACUAUACUAUAAAAUACAAUAUAAAGUAACAUUUAGCAAAUGACAUUAAUCUAUAUAAUGCUAAAUGAGGACAAUAAAUAUCUAGCACCAUCAGGAUAUAUAUAAACGAUAUGUUCUAAUGCAUUAUUGUUUGUAAUAUACAAUUUGACAUGAAGUCAACACAUCAUUUAUUCAUAAAAAAAAGUUGUUUGCACCAAGGAAAGGUAUUUAAAAGAAAUAAAGUUGUUUACAUUUAGGUAUAAUUUAAUUUCAGAUGUAACACUUCUUCUCAUUGGCUUAGAGCUUUUUGUCUAUAAGCUCAUAGACAUAAUUUUGUCAUUUGACCAUGAUGCCAUCAAUGUUAUUUUUAAUGAUAUACUCCUUUGAGAUGAAAUACGAAUUAAAUUAUAAGGAAUGAGUGUAACAUUAUUCAAAAUAACCUAAAAUAUGUGGUGCACAAUGAAUAACCUGAGUAACAGGUUAUUUAUAAGUGUGCACAACAUUAGACAGAAAAAAAUAUUGCAGUCAUUCAUUAAAUAACAUCAGAAUAAGACUGACAUUUAUAGUACAGCAAUUUCACCAAAAAAAGUAUAAAGUUUAAAUUUGUUAUAUUUUUAUAAUAAAUGUACAUAUGUUAUGAACUUUGAUAAAUCACUUUGGUAAACUGUAAAAUAUUAUAUUAUUUAUGCCUUUCCUCCAUGUAUGACACCUUUUGACACCAUCCCCAUAACUCCAUCAUUGACGCCUGUGUUGUGCCUCAGUUGAAACAUCUUACCUACGAAAAAUCUGUAUCAGUCUUAAUAUUUGUAUCUAAUAUAAAAAAGGAUAUUCAUGAGAAUAUCUGACUGGAAUUUCAUUGAUAAAAUAUUCGUUUUUCGCAAUGCAUUUAAUUAAACCUGCAUAUUUUUUUGUUAUUGAAAAGUUCCUAUGCGAAUCAAGUAUGUAAAUAGAAAUUUCAUGGAGGAAAAGGAUAAUAUGGUCAUUAACAAUUCAAUCUGUAAAACAUUGAAUUCUUACUUAUUGUCAGCCCUUCUCCCCUCCCGUCCUCAAAUUGCAAAGAAAUGCUUUAAAAUAGAACAAUAUCGAUGUCAAAAAACAGAAUGGAAGGAAACUUCUAAUGGUCAUGCCAAAUCAAAUAGUUUGUGUGCAGAUAUAAACAGUUCUGAUAAGAGGUAGUUAGAGGGUAUAAGGGUUCAAAUUUGCCUUUCAGAAUUGAAAGAACUAUGGGUAAUCUCAUUGUUUGUACACCAAAAUGUAAAUAACAUUACUAAUCACAGUGUUUUAAUGUAUUCUUUUGAAAAUGUUACCCAGAAUGCAUUACAUUCUUAAAGGGAGAAUAAGUGUGGGUUCCUGUUGUGGGACCUUCCUGUUCUUUAAUGAAGUGAACCAUUGAUAUUUAGAUUGUAAAGGCAAGGCAAUGCAUUCUUUACAUGGGAUCUAUGACUCUUGAAAGGAGGGCCAUCAUUUGAAAAUUUAAAUGGUUAUGAACCUUUUAUUAGAUAAACAAAUUUGAAACACAAUUAUUUUCGAUAAUUUGUAUAUACUAAAUGCAAUUAAUUAACUUUAAUAUUAACGUAGCAUACAUUAAAACAACUUCUAAUACAUUAUUUAAUAGGACAAAUCAGCACCGAGUAUUCUAAUAUCAUUUCAAUAAUAUUGUUUAUUAAAUCUAAAA
This 2174-nucleotide long non-coding RNA is filed under the name Mytilus galloprovincialis (Mediterranean mussel). Lineage: Eukaryota; Metazoa; Mollusca; Bivalvia; Mytilida; Mytilidae. The record is from RNAcentral.